RNAcentral lists this unclassified non-coding RNA (376 nucleotides) under Hevea brasiliensis (rubber tree). The record is from RNAcentral. Lineage: Eukaryota; Viridiplantae; Streptophyta; Magnoliopsida; Malpighiales; Euphorbiaceae.
GCCGUUUCUCUCCUAGAAGAGGAGUAUUCCGAAAUGUCAAUUUCAGGGUCCGCGGAAACUUUGGUGGAGGUCGGAGCUACGGGAGAAGUGAAUUUGGAGGACGCGAUUUUUCAGGGCGUGGUAGGGUUCAAGGUGGACGUGGUGGUGAAAGCUAUCAAGUAAGAGGGAGAGGGGGACAGAGAGGUGGCCCUAGUCAAAGUUCUGCUACAACAUAGUUAAUGUGGCUGGAUAAAUUUUGAUCUAGUUUAUUUGUUUGCCAGUGUGCUGGCAGCGGAACGGUAGUUGACAUUGACGUUACUUUGUGUUCUCGUCCCCCCAGUUUACCCAAGUGUUGGGGGACUAUUCACUCACAAUUUUUUGUGUGGGUGACCUUUGU